CGCUUCUUUCCUCCCGAGUGCUUGCACUCAAUUGGAAAGAGGAGUGGCGGACGGGUGAGUAACACGUGGGUAACCUGCCCAUCAGAGGGGGAUAACACUUGGAAACAGGUGCUAAUACCGCAUAACAGUUUAUGCCGCAUGGCAUAAGAGUGAAAGGCGCUUUCGGGUGUCGCUGUUGGAUGGACCCGCGGUGCAUUAGCUAGUUGGUGAGGUAACGGUUCACCAAGGCCACGAUGCAUAGCCGACCUGAGAGGGUGAUCGGCCACACUGGGACUGAGACACGGCCCGGACUCCUACGGGAGGCAGCAGUAGGGAAUCUUCGGCAAUGGACGAAAGUCUGACCGAGCAACGCCGCGUGAGUGAAGAAGGUUUUCGGAUCGUAAAACUCUGUUGUUAGAGAAGAACAAGGACGUUAGUAACUGAACGUCCCCUGACGGUAUCUAACCAGAAAGCCACGGCUAACUACGUGCCAGCAGCCGCGGUAAUACGUAGGUGGCAAGCGUUGUCCGGAUUUAUUGGGCGUAAAGCGAGCG
This 533-nucleotide ribosomal RNA is filed under the name uncultured bacterium. Its description in RNAcentral is "bacterial SSU rRNA". It matches the Rfam family "Bacterial small subunit ribosomal RNA", at positions 67 to 571 of the family's 1533-position model. The record is from RNAcentral.